CUCCUUGUAAAUUAGCACUGACAAAUUUUGUUUGUCAUCAAAUGUUCUUUCUUCUCUUCAAAAUAUGUUGAAUGAUCCUAACAGACAUAGUCCAGUGCUAUCAGGUUGCAUACCAAGCGAUAAAAAUACCCUGAAUUUAAGUUAAAGUUUGCAAUUACAGGGAAGAGGGAGAGGUUAAAGUGAGGGCUAAGAGCUACCUUUCUUUGGGUUCUUUCUUCACGGGAAACCAGUCUGUUGCAGCCAUGGCGGAGGUGUUAUUUUGUUAUUUUUUCCCUUCACUUUGAUGAUCAGCUACCAAACCUGACCCUCCCCAUUUCCCAGAAAUUAAUUCUUUUAAAGAAGAGAUUUU
RNAcentral lists this long non-coding RNA (349 nucleotides) under Theobroma cacao (cacao). Its description in RNAcentral is "long non-coding RNA (TCAC_LNC005080)". Lineage: Eukaryota; Viridiplantae; Streptophyta; Magnoliopsida; Malvales; Malvaceae. The record is from RNAcentral.